RNAcentral lists this ribosomal RNA (460 nucleotides) under uncultured bacterium. RNAcentral's name for it is "partial 16S ribosomal RNA". It matches the Rfam family "Bacterial small subunit ribosomal RNA", at positions 338 to 795 of the family's 1533-position model. The record is from RNAcentral.
CCUACGGGUGGCAGCAGUGAGGAAUAUUGGUCAAUGGUCGAGAGUCUGAACCAGCCAAGUAGCGUGAAGGAUGACGGCCCUAUGGGUUGUAAACUUCUUUUAUGCGGGAAUAAAUUGCUUCACGUGUGGUAUUUUGUAGGUACCGCAUGAAUAAGGACCGGCUAAUUCCGUGCCAGCAGCCGCGGUAAUACGGAGGGUCCGGGCGUUAUCCGGAUUUAUUGGGUUUAAAGGGAGCGUAGGCCGAAUGUUAAGUCUGGCGUGAAAGUUUGCGGCUCAACCAUGGGACUGCCGUUGGAACUGGCAUGCUUGAGUGCGCGAAAGGUAUGCGGAAUUCGUGGUGUAGCGGUGAAAUGCUUAGAUAUCACGAAGAACUCCGAUUGCGAAGGCAGCAUACGGGAGUGCUACUGACGCUGAGGCUCGAAGGCGUGGGUAUCGAACAGGAUUAGAUACCCGAGUAGUC